This 573-nucleotide non-coding RNA is filed under the name Sungouiella intermedia. Its description in RNAcentral is "Candida intermedia Eukaryotic large subunit ribosomal RNA". It matches the Rfam family "Eukaryotic large subunit ribosomal RNA", at positions 24 to 664 of the family's 3401-position model. Lineage: Eukaryota; Fungi; Ascomycota; Pichiomycetes; Serinales; Metschnikowiaceae. The record is from Rfam by way of RNAcentral.
CCCGCUGAACUUAAGCAUAUCAAUAAGCGGAGGAAAAGAAACCAACAGGGAUUGCCUCAGUAACGGCGAGUGAAGCGGCAAAAGCUCAAAUUUGAAAUCCUUCGGGAGUUGUAAUUUGUAGGUUGGGAGACCCCGCGGCUAGUGGCACCAAGUCCCUUGGAACAGGGCGCCUUAGAGGGUGAGAGCCCCGUAGGUACCACAACACCGUCUUGUGUCUCCUCUCCAAAGAGUCGAGUUGUUUGGGAAUGCAGCUCAAAGUGGGUGGUAAAUUCCAUCUAAAGCUAAAUACCGGCGAGAGACCGAUAGCGAACAAGUACAGUGAUGGAAAGAUGAAAAGCACUUUGAAAAGAGAGUGAAACAGUACGUGAAAUUGUUGAAAGGGAAGGGCUUGCAAGCAGACACGGCCUUCGUGCCGGGCCAGCAUCGGUUGCUAGGGGUGGAUAAGGAACAAGGAAUGUAGCUCCUCGGAGUAUUAUAGCCUUGCGCGAUACACCCACUGGCGACCGAGGCCUGCGGUAUUCUUUACCUAGGAUGCUGGCGUAAUGGUUGCAAGCCGCCCGUCUUGAAACACGG